GUGGGGAAUCUUGCGCAAUGGGCGAAAGCCUGACGCAGCCAUGCCGCGUGAAUGAUGAAGGUCUUAGGAUUGUAAAAUUCUUUCACCGGGGACGAUAAUGACGGUACCCGGAGAAGAAGCUCCGGCUAACUUCGUGCCAGCAGCCGCGGUAAUACGAAGGGGGCUAGCGUUGCUCGGAAUUACUGGGCGUAAAGGGCGCGUAGGCGGACAGCUUAGUCAGAGGUGAAAGCCCAGGGCUCAACCUUGGAAUUGCCUUUGAUACUGGCUGUCUUGAGUUUGGGAGAGGUGAGUGGAACUCCGAGUGUAGAGGUGAAAUUCGUAGAUAUUCGGAAGAACACCAGUGGCGAAGGCGACUCACUGGCCAAAUACUGACGCUGAGGCGCGAAAGCGUGGGGAGCAAACAGGAUUAGAAACCCCGGUAGUCC
This 425-nucleotide ribosomal RNA is filed under the name uncultured bacterium. Its description in RNAcentral is "partial 16S ribosomal RNA". It matches the Rfam family "Bacterial small subunit ribosomal RNA", at positions 354 to 796 of the family's 1533-position model. The record is from RNAcentral.